This 105-nucleotide ribosomal RNA is filed under the name Listeria monocytogenes. Lineage: Bacteria; Bacillati; Bacillota; Bacilli; Caryophanales; Listeriaceae. The record is from RNAcentral.
UGCCGAGAAGGUCACACCCGUUCCCAUCCCGAACACGGUAGUUAAGCUUCUCUGCGCCAAUGGUAGUUGGGGGCUUCCCCCUGCGAGAGUAGGUCGCUGCCGGGC